RNAcentral lists this ribosomal RNA (396 nucleotides) under uncultured bacterium. RNAcentral describes it as "partial 16S ribosomal RNA". It matches the Rfam family "Bacterial small subunit ribosomal RNA", at positions 523 to 918 of the family's 1533-position model. The record is from RNAcentral.
AUACGGAGGGUGCAAGCGUUAAUCGGAAUUACUGGGCGUAAAGCGCACGCAGGCGGUUUGUUAAGUCAGAUGUGAAAUCCCCGGGCUCAACCUGGGAACUGCAUCUGAUACUGGCAAGCUUGAGUCUCGUAGAGGGGGGUAGAAUUCCAGGUGUAGCGGUGAAAUGCGUAGAGAUCUGGAGGAAUACCGGUGGCGAAGGCGGCCCCCUGGACGAAGACUGACGCUCAGUUGCGAAAGCGUGGGGAGCAAACAGGAUUAGAUACCCUGGUAGUCCACGCCGUAAACGAUGUCGACUUGGAGGUUGUGCCCUUGAGGCGUGGCUUCCGGAGCUAACGCGUUAAGUCGACCGCCUGGGGAGUACGGCCGCAAGGUUAAAACUCAAAUGAAUUGACGGGG